This 219-nucleotide ribosomal RNA is filed under the name uncultured Lactobacillus sp. RNAcentral describes it as "partial 16S ribosomal RNA". It matches the Rfam family "Bacterial small subunit ribosomal RNA", at positions 144 to 354 of the family's 1533-position model. Lineage: Bacteria; Bacillati; Bacillota; Bacilli; Lactobacillales; Lactobacillaceae. The record is from RNAcentral.
UAACAACCUGGAAACAGAUGCUAAUACCGGAUAACAACAGAUGAUGCCUAUCAACUGUUUAAAAGAUGGUUCUGCUAUCACUCUUGGAUGGACCUGCGGUGCAUUAGCUAGUUGGUAGGGUAACGGCCUACCAAGGCGAUGAUGCAUAGCCGAGUUGAGAGACUGAUCGGCCACAUUGGGACUGAGACACGGCCCAAACUCCUACGGGAGGCAGCAGGC